CCUACGGGCGGCAGCAGUGGGGAAUAUUGCACAAUGGGGGAAACCCUGAUGCAGCGACGCCGCGUGAGUGAAGAAGUAUCUCGGUACGUAAAGCUCUAUCAGCAGGGAAGAAAAUGACGGUACCUGACUAAGAAGCCCCGGCUAACUACGUGCCAGCAGCCGCGGUAAUACGUAGGGGGCAAGCGUUAUCCGGAUUUACUGGGUGUAAAGGGAGCGUAGACGGCAGCACAAGUCUGGAGUGAAAUCCCGGGGCUUAACCCCGGAACUGCUUUGGAAACUGUGAGGCUGGAGUGCAGGAGGGGUAAGCGGAAUUCCUGGUGUAGCGGUGAAAUGCGUAGAUAUUAAGAGGAACACCGAUGGCGAAGGCGACUUACUGGACUGUAACUGACGUUGAGGCUCGAAAGCGUGGGGAGCAAACAGGAUUAGAUACCCCGGUAGUC
This 440-nucleotide ribosomal RNA is filed under the name uncultured bacterium. Its description in RNAcentral is "partial 16S ribosomal RNA". It matches the Rfam family "Bacterial small subunit ribosomal RNA", at positions 338 to 795 of the family's 1533-position model. The record is from RNAcentral.